This is a long non-coding RNA of Vicia villosa (hairy vetch), 1259 nucleotides long. RefSeq lists it as uncharacterized. The record is from RefSeq and is a predicted model, not a curated record. The transcript has 2 exons. NCBI's taxonomy places the organism in Eukaryota, Viridiplantae, Streptophyta, Magnoliopsida, Fabales, Fabaceae.
UUCAACUUUCAAAUUUUCAUAAGUGGAAGCUGAGAAACAAUUCACUGGCCCCUCCUAAUGACUUUUAUGUAAUUUUAUUGGUCACUAAAUUUAUUCUUAGUCAUGAAAACUAGAAGAACCAACUUUUAUUUCUAUAAAGCUAUAUUUGUUGAUAGUACCUAAAAUGCUUUGCUGAAUGUACCUUAAAAGGAGAAAGCUUAGUUGAUUCGUAUAAAAAAUGGUUUGCUGAUUAAGCAAAGUUGUGAACUAGUCAUCUCCUGUCCCUCUCCACCAAAUAAUACUUUUGACAACAAUUUUUGUCUGCUCGAAUUACAUAUCUUUCCUUUUCUUUUUAACUAAUUUUAUAAGUAUCUGUUGGCCAUUCCUUUUGGACUUUGUAGCUAUUGACAACGAGGAAAUGAAUAUGACCCACCAGCUAAUACAAGGAAUUUAGUGAUCACAGAAUGAUUUUUAUAAUUGAAGUAAUUUCACAUUUGGAAAAUUUGGUAAUGAAAUUGUUGAUACAUAAAAAUUUCUGACAUUUUAAAAUUGAAUAUACUGUUAAACAACUUCAUAUAGAAAAUAUCAACUCUGAAAAUUUCAUGUGUUUUGUUUUUGUCAUUAUAAUUUUAUAUUUUAUUUUUCAAUUUAUUUUGUGUUCAGGUAAUUUUAAAAUACAAAUUGUAAGAAAUCCAAUUAUUGGAGUUGACCAAUUGUUGGAGCUGAUAUUCAUUCAGGAAAUGUCUAGAAGAAAGCUUUUGGAACCUUUUAAACUUCUUUCAAAAGAUAUCUUUCGGACCAGUGUAAUAGUUGAUUGAAUAUGUUCACGUUCAAUGGUAAAGAUGUAAACUUUGUUGCAUAAUUGGCUAACAUUUAGAAGGUUGUAUUUAAGUCCUUUAACUAAAAGUACAUUUUUAAUGGUAACUGUGGAAGGAUUUUCCACAAUACCUUCUCCUAAUAUGUUACCUUUUGUGUUGUCUCCAUAGGUGACGCGGCCGCUUUCUUUCUCAUCGAACUUGAUGAACAUAGAAGCAUCUCCCGUCAUGUAUCUUGAACAUCUGCUAUCUAGAAACUAUAAUCUUUUUGUGGAAACAAGAUUUUCUUGUAGGCAAUUAAAUAGGUAAAUUUAGGUCCCCCAACUAGUGGAUCCUUUGGGUUAGUUGAGAUACACUUACGAACCCAUUCCAUUUUACCAUUUGGAACUUCGAAAUUCCUAAUGUGACAUUGAGGCCUAAAGUGUCCCUUAUCACCAAAAUAAUGACAACUAGCUUUAGAUGAAA